UACGAAGGGGGCUAGCGUUGCUCGGAAUCACUGGGCGUAAAGGGUGCGUAGGCGGGCCUUUAAGUCAGGGGUGAAAUCCUGGAGCUCAACUCCAGAACUGCCUUUGAUACUGAGGAUCUUGAGUACGGGAGAGGUGAGUGGAACUGCGAGUGUAGAGGUGAAAUUCGUAGAUAUUCGCAAGAACACCAGUGGCGAAGGCGGCUCACUGGCCCGGUACUGACGCUGAGGUGCGAAAGCGUGGGGAGCAAACAGG
This 253-nucleotide ribosomal RNA is filed under the name uncultured bacterium. Its description in RNAcentral is "partial 16S ribosomal RNA". It matches the Rfam family "Bacterial small subunit ribosomal RNA", at positions 524 to 776 of the family's 1533-position model. The record is from RNAcentral.